Myodes glareolus (Bank vole) is the source of this 538-nucleotide long non-coding RNA. RefSeq lists it as uncharacterized. The record is from RefSeq and is a predicted model, not a curated record. Lineage: Eukaryota; Metazoa; Chordata; Mammalia; Rodentia; Cricetidae.
UUUAUUCCAGUGGGCAGGCAUGAUGACGGGGAGAGACUGAGAGAGAUGGUCCCGGAGCCAGGCUGUGGGAAUGUUCCCCGAGAGUCUGACAGCAGCUGCGCUGUAUCUCAGUCUGGUUACAGAAACAACACGUUCCUGAGCCUGCUGUGGUCAUCAUUAUUGGUCUGUGUAGGUGAGGGGGCCAACGCGAUGUCCCAGGAGCCAACCACAUCUCUGCCAUUUCUGAAGAUGGGAAGGUCUGUCGCAUUUGCUCUGGAGAUGCCAAAAAGUUGCCAUGCUCACGUCAGAGAAGCGAUCAUCAGCCAAGCAGACUACACGGCAAUGGACACACUAUGUUAGAAAAUGAAGACGGAUGAGGCAAAGCAGGAUCAGAACACAGCCAGAGGUGUUCUCGUCAUGAGACCCACCAGUGUUUCAGUCCAAGGUGUGUCCACAGGUCCCCCAUGAGGCCUUCAUUCCUAGCUGUUACCCCAAACCCACACGUGACACAGCAGAAAGACACCCACGAAUAGAAAGGCAUAUGAUGGACCCCAGGAUC